This 253-nucleotide long non-coding RNA is filed under the name Homo sapiens (human). Its description in RNAcentral is "HSALNT0408262". The record is from RNAcentral. Lineage: Eukaryota; Metazoa; Chordata; Mammalia; Primates; Hominidae.
UGCCCACCUUGGCCUCUCAAAGUGCAGGGAUUACAGCAAGGACGAUAGGCCUGAGUGUGAAGUUAAGAGAAUGGAAGAGAAGAUAGACAAUGGAAUGCCAAUCUCAAAACAAAUCAUUGAAAAUUGAGAUGAAAAUGCCAAAUGUCUGCAUUCAUAUAAUGGAAAUAAUCGAGCUGUGGACAAUCAUCUAUGCUUUUGAUCAUUCUGGGAUUAGAGGAAUUCCUUACACUUAUGGAAUUCAACUGUGUCAAAA